UAUAAGAACUCUUGCAAUCUUAGGUGUUAUAAAAAUAUAUAACUGAGUUGUAAGAGUUGUUAGCAC
Molecule: microRNA precursor, 66 nt
Filed under: Fukomys damarensis (Damara mole-rat)
Lineage: Eukaryota; Metazoa; Chordata; Mammalia; Rodentia; Bathyergidae
Description: mir-4680 microRNA precursor family
Rfam family: mir-4680 microRNA precursor family
Source: Rfam by way of RNAcentral